Molecule: ribosomal RNA, 253 nt
Filed under: uncultured bacterium
Lineage: Bacteria
Description: partial 16S ribosomal RNA
Rfam family: Bacterial small subunit ribosomal RNA
Source: RNAcentral
UACGAAGGGGGCAAGCGUUGUUCGGAAUUACUGGGCGUAAAGCGCACGUAGGCGGACUAUUAAGUCAGGGGUGAAAUCCUGGAGCUCAACUCCAGAACUGCCUUUGAUACUGGCGGUCUCGAGUCCGGGAGAGGUGAGUGGAACUGCGAGUGUAGAGGUGAAAUUCGUAGAUAUUCGCAAGAACACCAGUGGCGGAGGCGGCUCACUGGCCCGGUACUGACGCUGAGGUGCGAAAGCGUGGGGAGCAAACAGG